GAUGAACGCUGGCGGCGUGCCUAAUACAUGCAAGUCGAGCGAACAGACGAGGAGCUUGCUCCUCUGACGUUAGCGGCGGACGGGUGAGUAACACGUGGAUAACCUACCUAUAAGACUGGGAUAACUUCGGGAAACCGGAGCUAAUACCGGAUAAUAUAUUGAACCGCAUGGUUCAAUAGUGAAAGACGGUUUUGCUGUCACUUAUAGAUGGAUCCGCGCCGCAUUAGCUAGUUGGUAAGGUAACGGCUUACCAAGGCAACGAUGCGUAGCCGACCUGAGAGGGGGGGGGGGGAGACGGGGGCGGGGACGCGGUCCAGAGUGCGGGGGGAGGCAGCAGUAGGGAAUCUUCCGCAAUGGGCGAAAGCCUGACGGAGCAACGCCGCGUGAGUGAUGAAGGUCUUCGGAUCGUAAAACUCUGUUAUUAGGGAAGAACAAAUGUGUAAGUAACUAUGCACGUCUUGACGGUACCUAAUCAGAAAGCCACGGCUAACUACGUG
Molecule: ribosomal RNA, 497 nt
Filed under: uncultured bacterium
Lineage: Bacteria
Description: partial 16S ribosomal RNA
Rfam family: Bacterial small subunit ribosomal RNA
Source: RNAcentral